UACGGAGGGGGCUAGCGUUGUUCGGAAUUACUGGGCGUAAAGCGCACGUAGGCGGCUUUGUAAGUUAGAGGUGAAAGCCCAGGGCUCAACCCUGGAAUUGCCUUUAAGACUGCAUCGCUUGAAUUGUGGAGAGGUAAGUGGAAUUCCGAGUGUAGAGGUGAAAUUCGUAGAUAUUUGGAAGAACACCAGUGGCGAAGGCGACUUACUGGACACAUAUUGACGCUGAGGUGCGAAAGCGUGGGGAGCAAACAGG
RNAcentral lists this ribosomal RNA (253 nucleotides) under uncultured bacterium. Its description in RNAcentral is "partial 16S ribosomal RNA". It matches the Rfam family "Bacterial small subunit ribosomal RNA", at positions 524 to 776 of the family's 1533-position model. The record is from RNAcentral.